Colletes gigas is the source of this 1741-nucleotide RNA transcript. It is a transcript of the gene named cytochrome P450 6k1-like, with no coding region annotated. The record is from RefSeq and is a predicted model, not a curated record. The transcript is spliced from 7 exons. Lineage: Eukaryota; Metazoa; Arthropoda; Insecta; Hymenoptera; Colletidae.
UCAAGCUGCAAUCAGUGCUGUUGAGGAACUGACAGCAUUAAGUUACAUAUCUAGAGCUAUGGAAGCAUUCAGCCUCUUGCUCUUAAAUCCCUUUUUCGUGAUCGCUGCUAUAGCGGCGAUCCUCUACCUUUACCUAAAGUAUCAGCACACUUAUUGGAAAAGACGGGGUAUUCCAUCCGUUUCGGGACACUGGUUUUUUGGAAACAUGAAAGACGGAAUACUGAUGCGGAGAUCACCUGCGAUCGUGAUGGGCGAUCUGUAUCGGCAAGCUUCCGAAAACGACGACGUUCUGGGAAUCUAUGUCUUGCACAAACCCUUUUUACUAUUGAGGAGCCCGGAACUGAUAAAGCAAAUUUUAGUCAAGGAUUUCCAGUAUUUUUCAGAUCGAUAUUUCACGGCUAAAUCGUUCCACGAUGAAAUCGGAAACUCGAGUCUCUUCGCGAUAAAGAAUCCACAAUGGAAAUAUUUAAGAACGAAAUUAACGCCAGUGUUUACGAGUGGGAAAAUGAAGAAUCUGUUCCCCUUGAUAACCGAGGCCGCGGAAUCGAUGAAGAAUUAUUUGCAAGGUGAAUUUUCAAACAACGAGAGUACGAGAACCAUCAUGGUCAAAAACGUUAUGUCAAAAUACGCCACCGACAUUAUAUCUUCCGUUGCUUUUGGAAUUCAUGUGAAUUCUUUCGACACGUCUCAGGGCACCUUCUAUCAGAAAGCCCAAGACGCGUUGAAAAUCACGUUUCGGCGGGCCGUACAGUUUUACUGCAUGUUUUUCUUCCCGACGAUGGCACCGAUUCUGGGAGGUCAAAUAUUAGGCUCGGCUACGAAUUAUUUCCGAUCUAUAUUUUGGGAUUCUAUGGAUUCUAGAGAGAGGACAAAAUCUAAACGCGCUGAUCUGAUCGAUUCCUUGGUAAUGCUGAAGAACGAAAAACAGGAUAAUGAUUUCAAAUUCGAGGGUGAUCAUUUGGUCGGGCAAUCGGCUAUUUUCUUCGUUGCUGGUCGCGAGACUAACGUGACGACGAUAUGUUUUACCCUUGCCGAGCUCGCGAAGAAUCCGGAUAUUCAGAAUAAAGUGCGAGAAGAUAUUCUCGAAAAGCUGGAAACGCACGGAUUGACUUACGAAGGCGUACGGAAUAUGAAGUAUCUAAAUCAAGUGAUAUCGGAAGUUUUGAGACUUUAUCCAUCGGCUCCUCUAUUGGACCGAGUGGCCACUGUCGAUUACAAGGUACCGGGAACCGAUAUGGUUAUAGAAAAAGGAACGCCGAUUUACGUAAUAUUAACUGGUAUUCAGCGUGAUCCAAAAUAUUUUCCCGAUCCUCUGCGCUUCGAUCCAGAUAGAUUUAGCGACGAGAACAAAGAUAAAAUUACAGCGGGUACAUACAUGCCCUUCGGAGAAGGUCCACGAGCUUGCAUUGGUGCGCGACUCGGUAUGUUACAGUCUACUGUGGGAAUAAUCACAAUACUUAAGGAUUACGAAGUUUCAUUAGAUCCUACUUAUAAAGUUGACGUCGAUCCUCGCAACGUCUUUCUAUCACCACCAGAGGGAUUCAAACUGAGGUUUACAAAGCUUUAAUGUGCCAUUCAACGUUAUAAAGUUUCUGUACAAAAUACAUCUAUUUUACAAUACAUAGGUACAACACCAUAGUCUGGGAUACCAACGAAUGUGCUUGAAACAACCUGUCCACCCAUUGCCACAAUAGUUCCUGCUACAUAACUCUCUUCCUCGCUGAAGCCAGUUACAACGAAU